Long non-coding RNA from Cervus elaphus (red deer), 1080 nucleotides. RefSeq lists it as uncharacterized. Lineage: Eukaryota; Metazoa; Chordata; Mammalia; Artiodactyla; Cervidae. The transcript has 2 exons. The record is from RefSeq and is a predicted model, not a curated record.
GCCCGCGUAGCCCGCUGAAGCGUGAGGUCCCCGCUGGCCCCGCCACGACCCUGCACGCGCCCCCGCUGGGCCUAGUUAGCGUGCGGCCACGCAGAGAGCAGGAAAUAGAAAGUCUCGGGAAACCGUUGCGGAGGGCGGGCCACGGUGGAAUGCUGAAUUACAUCUACAUAGCUAACAGGUUCAUCUAAUCAAACACAGCCAGAACUGAUUCCUUGCUCUGAAAUAUACACAUGGCUUAACAAAACAGAAAGUGGAUGACUAGAAUAUGGAUUUCCAUGUAAACUGAUUCAACUGCUAUGGAAAAUAAUAUGACGGUUCCUCAAAAAAGUAAAAAUAGAUCUACCGUAUCAUCCAGCAAUUCCACUUCUGGGUAUAUAUCCAAACGAAAUUAGAACAAGACAUCAAAGAGAGAAGAUUACUCCGAAGUUUACUGAAACAUUAUUCACAACAGCCAAUGUAUGGAGACAACCUCAGUGCUCAUAAAUGGAUGUGUGGUGCUUGGAUGAAGAAGAUGUGAUAUAUAUAUUUUUCCUUUCCCAUGAGAAAGGACAUUCUGCCAUCUGCAACAAUAUAGAUGGACCUUGAAGACUCAAUAUUAAGAUGUUAAUUCUCAAAAAUUGAUUUAUAAAAUCAAAGCAGUUAUAAUCAAUUUCUUGGCAGGAUUCUCACUCCCUUUCCUCCCCCCCUCUUCUUUUUCCUCUGUAGAAAUUGCUGCACUAAUCCUGAAAUUUAUAUAGAUAUGCAUAUGAAAAGGACCUAAAAUAGCCAAAACAGUGUUCAGAGAAGAAGAAAGCAAUCGGAGAACUUAAAUUAUAUGGUUUUAAGACUUAGUAGGAAAAAAACUAUGGUAGUCAAAAAAGUUUGGACCUUAAACUUACAAAUGUAACACAUUAAUUAUAUCUUAAUAGAGCUGAGGGGAAAAAACCCUUAUUGGCCAUUUUGGGUUCUGAAUCAAGGUUUUCAAUCCUUGGCAUCUUAUUAAAUGUUUUACAGUUUAAAGGAACACAUAGCAUUAUACUUUUCUCUGAACAAUUCCUUUCCUGAUUUGGAUUGGAAAAUUGAUCAAGAUUUUGUAAAAGG